ACGUUAAUAAGGGGUUUAUUUAUAUUUAAAGUGGUGAUAAUUUAGAAAAAACUAAACAGUUUUCCCUUUGGUAUAAGGGGCUAAGGAGGAGUCAGAUUUAAGAUUUCCCCAAAAUUGAAGAUCUACUGUUGAAUGGUUUGUAAUGAUAUAAAUUAAAUCAAUGGUGGUAGUGAUAUGCUUUCGUUUCAAUUAUAGGUGGGUUAUUUCGUUGUAUUAGUUAAGCUAAAAUAAUGUUGAGGGGGUUGAGUUAAAAAAAUCAUUAAAGCGUGUUGUGUUAUAACUAGGUUAUUAGAAUUUAGGAUUUAAAUUAUUUUAGUUAUUAUAAUAGUAAUUUCAAAAUUAUCUUAGUAUUAGUAAUUCAAGUUUAAAAGUUGGUACAUCUAACCCUAUAAUAAGAACUAAAGUUUUGUUCGAAUGUUUAAUAAAAACAUUUCUUGAUAAUUGUCAAGUAAGCCCUGCCCGGUGGUAUAAACGGCCGCAGUAUUUUGACUGUGCUAAGGCAUAAUAAUUAGUCUUUUUAUUGAAGUCUGGAAUGAAAGGGUUUACGGGUAAAAUCUGUUUUUUAAAGGGGUGUGAAAUUAAAUUCUAAGUGAAAAUUCUUAGGGUUAUAAUUAAGACGGAAAGACCCCGAGAAUCUUUACAAUUCAAUUGUUUGGUUGGGGUAAUCCUUGGUGUUUAAAAUAUCAAGUAAUUAGAUACUCCGGGGAUAACAGGACAAUUUAGUAAUAAGUUUGUUACCUCGAUGUUGAAUCAUCCUGUUUUUGUCUGUUCGACAAAUUAGAGGGUACGUGAUUUGAGUUUAGACCGGCGUGAGCCAGGUCGGUUCUUAUCUAACAAGCCCCCCUAGUGGUACGAAAGGAUGCUAGAGGGAGGAUAAUCUUUAU
This 884-nucleotide ribosomal RNA is filed under the name Paratenuisentis ambiguus. RNAcentral describes it as "large rRNA". The stretch from base 582 to 884 matches the Rfam family "Bacterial large subunit ribosomal RNA", at positions 2045 to 2715 of the family's 2925-position model. The record is from RNAcentral. Lineage: Eukaryota; Metazoa; Acanthocephala; Eoacanthocephala; Neoechinorhynchida; Tenuisentidae.